ACAAACCGGACUUCAAGCAAUCGGUCAUGGAAGGGUAGGACUGCAAAAGAAUUUUGUGCAAGAACCAUGAAAUCAGCUCGUGCAAAGAAACAUGAAGAUGACACAUUAUGCAACCACAGUGCCAAGAGUUGGAUUUCACGGUGUUGAGCACAUGUAUAAAAUGCAGUAUUCUCCAUGAAUUCACCUGGUUGGUACAAGAAGGGGGGCAGAGACAAUGGUUUUAGUGGUCAUCAUGAAGAGAGGGAACAAUGACAAAAGAAAUAUAAUAUUUUGAUGGAGAAAGUCAAAGUUUACACCCGCAGCAAAUGGGGGAAACAGUAAGUGACAGACAAGGGAUUUGCUCGCAAGUAUGCCAUAACGCAUUACUUCCCGUAUAUAUUAUAUACUUAAUAAAUAUCCUAGAACUUGAAAACCAUCAAAACAUUAAACUAUUCUCUUUGUUUUUUUUUCCUCAAAACAAACUGGUACAAACAUUUAGACGACAGUACAAACUACUAAGAAUAAGAAGAAGAAAAUUUGAGAA
Molecule: long non-coding RNA, 523 nt
Organism: Ziziphus jujuba (common jujube)
Lineage: Eukaryota; Viridiplantae; Streptophyta; Magnoliopsida; Rosales; Rhamnaceae
Exons: 3
Source: RefSeq, a predicted model, not a curated record